Molecule: transfer RNA, 85 nt
Filed under: Variovorax sp. WDL1
Lineage: Bacteria; Pseudomonadati; Pseudomonadota; Betaproteobacteria; Burkholderiales; Comamonadaceae
Also listed under: 2 other names
Description: tRNA-Leu
Source: RNAcentral
GCACGGCUGGCGGAAUCGGCAGACGCGACGUUGAGGGCGUCGUGUCCGAAAGGACAUCCCGGUUCGAGGCCGGGGUCGUGCACCA